GGGGGCGUACUGGUUUCGACGGGGGUGUGGAGACCGGAUAAGCGGGCGGUGGCGCCUGACCACCAUACAACGGGCAAAUUAAAAUUAACUGACAACACUAACACUGUUGCCGUCGCUGCUUAAGCAGUGACCGUCUGAACCGGAGCGGCCACCGGCCGGGGAAGGCGUCGUUAAGGUGGCGUCCGUGAGGCGGGUAAGAGUUGCCCCGCCCACGCAUCAUGACUCUACUGAAUCGCCGCGUCUGUUGCGUGCCGCGUCGAGGAGGGAAUGUUCAAAUCGUAACUGCGCCCGGAGAAAGUCCUGUUGAAGCGCUUUCGGACAGGGGUUCGACUCCCCUCGCCUCCACCA
This 348-nucleotide transfer-messenger RNA is filed under the name Oscillospiraceae. RNAcentral's name for it is "Vescimonas sp945877515 Standard tmRNA". It matches the Rfam family "transfer-messenger RNA". Rfam says of the family: Bacterial tmRNA, also known as 10Sa RNA or SsrA, is named for its dual tRNA and mRNA-like properties. Its role is to liberate the mRNA from a stalled ribosome. Lineage: Bacteria; Bacillati; Bacillota; Clostridia; Eubacteriales. RNAcentral also lists the same sequence under 2 other names. The record is from RNAcentral.